GAGGGGGCUGUGCUGCGGCACCGGUAAUACCAGUUAUGCUGGUUAUGUGUGGAUUAUACUUACCUGGGGCCUCAGGGGCAGUUCAGGUUACGCUGAGCAACCCAAAGCCUGUCCUAAGAGGUAAUCCCUCCCUUGAAGACCUUGUCUUCUAAGCCGCCACAGGAGUCAGAGCUCGAUGGGGAAGGUGAGCAGGGAAAACAACGUGCAAACUUCACAUCAGCUCUACCUUAGGAUUAUUAUGUUGGAUCUCCUUGGUAGGAGCUCGGUUGGAGCUCUGCUCCCAGCCCAGCAGCACAGCGAUGCCAGGAAGGGCAGGAGAGGACCACUGUUUGAGAAAAGUCACCUUUGGAAAGCCCUGCUUACCUCUGCUGCAGACGUGGGUGGAUGGUGGGGCUGCCGGGUGCUGGAAGAUGGAUCCACACGUGGGGAUGGGGAACCCCUUGGAGAUGGUCCCGCUGCAGCCAUUUUGGGGGAAACAGUGGGGAAACAAGUACUUGAGCGCUCUUCAGUCGUGUCAUGCAGAAUGGAUGCUGUCAAAGCAUCGAAACUAUUUCUUCAUCUGCAAGAUCCAUGAACUCACCCAGCCCCUCUAGACCACUAAUGCUCCCCUGACGUUACCAAACCAUGAGCUUUGGUAGCAUAAACCUGGCUGAACGACAGUGGUCAUGAACUGACAUGCAAUUCCUGCCACAUGUGGACCUUCUAAAAGUAAUAAAGACAUCGUUUUGGGUACUGAUCCUAUAACUUGCUGUGCCUGGUGAGAAGACAACCUCUAAGGGGAACUCUUAAGCUCCCAGACGCUGAGAUGUUAAUUUGUCACCCUCACAGUGGCAUCACCCCUACCGGUUGGUCUUACCUGCCUGAAAUAUUAAAAUGACCAACCACUGCAAGUGG
Molecule: long non-coding RNA, 894 nt
Organism: Athene cunicularia (burrowing owl)
Lineage: Eukaryota; Metazoa; Chordata; Aves; Strigiformes; Strigidae
Exons: 2
Source: RefSeq, a predicted model, not a curated record